RNAcentral lists this long non-coding RNA (286 nucleotides) under Dromaius novaehollandiae (emu). RNAcentral's name for it is "lncRNA (ENSDNVG00000011314.1)". The record is from RNAcentral. Lineage: Eukaryota; Metazoa; Chordata; Aves; Casuariiformes; Dromaiidae.
YAUCCUGUAGGAUAAAGGCCAGCGACUGUGGAGCUCACUGACUGGAAGAGGACACAGACAGUGUAUCAGAUCCGAGCAGCCUGUCAAUACAUGUCCUCCAGAGCUUUCUAGCAUCCUGGAUUCUCUCCAGAAGCGUGGAAGCACGUUCAACCAGACAUUACUGAGACACAUUCCAGAAAUACUGUAUGGACAGAAGGGAGAAGCGCAAAGUACCGUUUGGGUGUUUUGGAUGCAUUCCCUUUUGCUGUCAAGGUAAACCGUGUCCUAACCUUGUAGAAACACUUGC